CUACGGGACGCUGCAGUGAGGAAUAUUGCACAAUGGGGGGAACCCUGAUGCAGCAACGCCGCGUGGAGGAUGACGCAUUUCGGUGUGUAAACUCCUUUUAUAUGUCAAGAAAAUGACGGUAGCAUAUGAAUAAGCACCGGCUAACUCCGUGCCAGCAGCCGCGGUAAUACGGAGGGUGCAAGCGUUACUCGGAAUCACUGGGCGUAAAGGACGCGUAGGCGGGUUGGAAAGUCAGGUGUGAAAUCCUACAGCUUAACUGUAGAACUGCACUUGAAACUUCUAAUCUAGAGUAUGGGAGGGGGAGUUGGAAUUAGUGGUGUAGGGGUAAAAUCCGUAGAUAUCACUAGGAAUACCUAAAGCGAAGGCGAUCUCCUGGAACAUUACUGACGCUAAGGCGUGAAAGCGUGGGGAGCAAGCAGGAUUAGAUACCCCGGUAGUC
Molecule: ribosomal RNA, 439 nt
Filed under: uncultured bacterium
Lineage: Bacteria
Description: partial 16S ribosomal RNA
Rfam family: Bacterial small subunit ribosomal RNA
Source: RNAcentral